ACACACACUACAUUCAUUACACUGACGCACUCUGCAUUCACUACACACUAACAUACACUCUGCAUUCACUAUACUGACACACACUCUGCAUUCACUACACUAACAUACACUCUGCAUUAACUGUACACACAGCAUCCACUACACAAACAUCCUGUAUUCACAGUACACACACUACAUCCACCACAAAUUGAAACACUCUGCAUUCACUAUACACAGACACUGCGUCUGAUACACACACUACAGACACUGCCUCCACUAAACACAUUUCAUCUAGUACAUACAAACACUACAUCCACUACACAAACACACACUACAUCACUGUACACACACUACAUCCACUACUCAAAAACACUCUGCGUUCACUAUACACACUGCAUCCGAUACACAAACACACACUCUGCAUUCAUUGCACAAACAGUAUCUAAUACACACAAACACUACAUCCAUUACACACAUUCUAAUUCACUUCCACUAUACACACACCACAUUCAGUCCUGCAUCAUUGUGAGCAGACUAGGUAGGGCGUGGGCGGGCCCGCGAGGAGGGGGG
Pelobates cultripes (western spadefoot toad) is the source of this 549-nucleotide non-coding RNA. The record is from the annotation of a GenBank genome assembly. Lineage: Eukaryota; Metazoa; Chordata; Amphibia; Anura; Pelobatidae.